AAGUCGUAACAAGGUUUCCGUAGGUGAACCUGCGGAAGGAUCAUUAUCGAGUUUUGAAAGGGGUUGUAGCUGGCCUUUCGGGGCAUGUGCACGCCUCGCUCAUUUCCAACUCUUCAACACCUGUGAACUAGCUGUAGGUUGGUCUUGAAGUGGGUUCUUGUGAGCCCCUUCGUGCCUUCCUAUGUCUUUAACAAACUCUUAUUGUAUUGGAAUGUCUUUUGUGCUUAUAAACGGCAUAAAUAUAACUUUCAGCAACGGAUCUCUUGGCUCUC
Molecule: unclassified non-coding RNA, 272 nt
Filed under: air metagenome
Description: partial contains small subunit ribosomal RNA, internal transcribed spacer 1, and 5.8S ribosomal RNA
Rfam family: Eukaryotic small subunit ribosomal RNA (bases 1-46)
Source: RNAcentral